UUGCCAGCCCGCUCAGAAACUACAAAUGAAUUGACGGGGGCCCGCACAAGCAGCGGAGCGUGUGGUUUAAUUCGAUGAUACGCGAAGAACCUCACCCAGGUUUGACAUGCAUGUGGUACCAAGGUGAAAGCUGAGGGACCCUUCGGGGAGCAUGCACAGGUGUUGCACGGCCGUCGUCAGCUCGUGCCGUGAGGUGUUGGGUUAAGUCCCGCAACGAGCGCAACCCCUGUCGCCAGUUGUAUUUUUCUGGCGAGACUGCCGAGAAAACCUCGGAGGAAGGAGGGGACGAUGUCAGGUCAGCGUGGCCCUUACGCCUGGGGCUACACACACGCUACAAUGGGCAGUACAACGGGUCGCGAAGCCGCGAGGUGGAGCUAAUCCCAUCAAAGCUGUCCUCAGUUCGGAUUGCAGGCUGAAACCCGCCUGCAUGAAGCCGGAGUUGCUAGUAACCGCAGGUCAGCAUUACUGCGGUGAAUACGUUCCCGGGCCUU
Molecule: ribosomal RNA, 491 nt
Filed under: uncultured Chloroflexota bacterium
Lineage: Bacteria; Bacillati; Chloroflexota
Description: bacterial SSU rRNA
Rfam family: Bacterial small subunit ribosomal RNA
Source: RNAcentral